Long non-coding RNA from Amphimedon queenslandica, 711 nucleotides. RefSeq lists it as uncharacterized. Lineage: Eukaryota; Metazoa; Porifera; Demospongiae; Haplosclerida; Niphatidae. The transcript is spliced from 3 exons. The record is from RefSeq and is a predicted model, not a curated record.
GGAAAAACGAGGUAGUUAUGUGGUGUUUUGUUUGUGAGAUGGGGAAUAGUGUCAUUUUUUUGUUACUGAUACAUUGAAUAAGGUGUUGCCGCAUUUCAUUUUGUCGAUAGACACAACUCUGAGGGUCUAUACCAUUGGCCAGGGCCGUCGCAUUGGCAAUGGCAUAAAGACCACAGUCUGAGGAGCCACUUUGUUUUUUAACUGGAACACAGUUCACUUUUACUUGAAUGAAGCCAUUCUCAGCUAGGAGAAACGAUAAAAUUCGCUCGGAAUUUUCCGGAAGUUUUGAGUACACUGAAUCAUAAUAAUUCAGGCAGCACUCUGAAUCAUUUUCAGAUGGAAUGGAACUGACAACUGCCCAAUGGUGUCUCGUGAGUUGAUAGCAAGUGGACUGUAGGCCAUUCAAGUGAGGAAAACUAGCUUUUAGUAAAAACUGUGCAGCCGAUAUGUGGACAUCAGUGAUCCUUCUUUCAUUUGCAAUAUCCAAUUUAUCUUUUACUUUUAAAAGAUCACCAUCAAUUAUCAUAGGGUUUGAGGCUGAACCAGAAGUUGAUGCUUGACUGGGCAUGAGAGAAGUCGAGGUGCUUUUUUCACAAGCUGAGGCAAUGUAGUUCAUACACUCUGGAGUAACUUUAAAUUCAUUGGUUAGUGAAAGGAGGGCUGAUUUAAAACCUAGUUCUUUAUCUUGAACUAGAUUUUCGAUGUACCCUA